This is a long non-coding RNA of Gasterosteus aculeatus aculeatus (three-spined stickleback), 1304 nucleotides long. NCBI's taxonomy places the organism in Eukaryota, Metazoa, Chordata, Actinopteri, Perciformes, Gasterosteidae. The record is from Ensembl.
UCUGUGUUGGAGUCUGGCUGGAGAAUCCAAUGAGCUGCUUGUCAGGGAGGCCCAAACCAUGUGUGAGCCGGACCAGGGGUGUUUGAGGCUGUCGACAGCGUAGCAUCCCAGAUGGUGGGUCUGGUGACUGGGCCUUUCAUCUGCUCAUCCCAUUGCCUGUUGUGUUUGUCUGCAUUUUCUUUUAACAUCGCAUGCCUCGAUUUUAUAUUGUUUGUGUGGAGAAACUAAGUCGGUGAGCGCCCUGUGCCAGAGCCUGUCCCCGUUCUCACCCCGGUGCGGCCUAGUCAUCGGUAGCACUCAAUUUGUUUGUAGAGGCGCAUUUUGUAAUUCCUACAGCUGAUGGAAAUUGGUUUCAUUGUUUUGUAUUCUUACUAUAUUUUAACUAAAUGUUAAUCUGGGGGAACCCUUUUGCCUCAGUCUGACUUCAGUCACCUGUUGAUCUGUGGUUGUUGGAUAAUUUAUGAGGAAAUGUUUAACCCUGUCCUACCGGUGGUUACAAAUGUCUUCCAGUUGCUCAACUUCUCAUGAUAUGAUCUACAAACUAUGCAUCAGCUAAAACUAAUGCAGUCUAAUACAACAGCCCUACAACUUUCUCCCUCAUUCUCUUGUAUCGGAAGUCGACAGCCCAAAUAGAAUUCGGCCAAUGGUACCCCUAGACGGGAUUUACUCACAUGUUGAACUUUACUAAUUGCUUGUGAUCUCUUCUCAGACUGCUAUGGCUGAUUCCACACACAGAAUCAAGAUUAACAUUGGCUAAAACUUCCAAAUGGCUUGCCAAAGUCACUAGAUAUCUUCACUGCAAGAUGAAGACAACCUUUAGGUUAAAGGGCAACCUGUCACUUCAAUACAUGGACCAAGAGUUUGGCAAUUACUUUUUAAUCUCAACUCUACCACUGAAUUUCAGGGACAAGUAGGAGGCCAAAGGGGUUAGUUGACGUGUAAAAUGUUUGCCCUACCUCUGUGGAUUGCCCGUGAGAAAUUGCGUAACCCGGUUUUAUAAAUUGUGGCAGAUAAUUUUUUUAAAUAUUGUCAUUUACUCAUUAUGCGUUGUGCAAGAAACCUGGUGGAGACCGUGGAGCCAUGAGUGCAAACAAAAGUUUCAAUUGCUUGGUGAUUGAUGUUUGUUCCAUAGUGUAAGUGAAUCGUAUGUGCAUCUGUACCCUCUAAAAAUGCACUUUAAAUACACAUUUCUGUGGCAGUAAUAACUGCCAUUUUAAAUUGGUAAUUAAAGAGCAAUUUUUCAUUAACUGAACCGGAGUUUGUUGCACAAUAUAUCACAAGUGGGUGUUUUCAAAAUAUCUUUA